Chlorocebus sabaeus (green monkey) is the source of this 702-nucleotide non-coding RNA. NCBI's taxonomy places the organism in Eukaryota, Metazoa, Chordata, Mammalia, Primates, Cercopithecidae. The record is from the annotation of a RefSeq genome assembly.
ACCAUGGUCCUGAAAUGAGACGGUGUCCCCCAUGGAGAGCACAUGCGGACGCCCACACCAGAGGGCUCACUGCGCCUCACCACAGAUGCACUCCCCUACUGAGUCCUGAGACCUGGGUGCACCCCAUAGAGUAGUACUCAGAUGAGGGCAUGCAAAUCUCCACCAGCUCCACCCUCCUCACGAUUGAAAAGCCGAGCACCGGGACUGGCUCAGUGAAUCCUGUGCCCCACCAUGGACACGCUUUGCUCCACGCUCCUGCUGCUGACCGUCCCGUCCUGGGUCUUGUCCCAGGUCACCUUGAAGGAGUCUGGUCCUGCGCUGGUGAAACCCACACAGACCGUCACGCUGACCUGCACCUUCUCUGGGUUCUCACUUAGCACUAGUGGUAUGGGUGUGGGCUGGAUCCGUCAGCCCCCAGGGAAGGCCCUGGAGUGGCUUGCACACAUUGAUUGGGAUGAUGAUAAAUACUACAGCACAUCUCUGAAGAGCAGGCUCACCAUCUCCAAGGACACCUCCAAGAACCAGGUGGUUCUAACAAUGACCAACAUGGACCCUGUGGACACAGCCACAUAUUACUGUGCACGGAGACCACAGAGACACAGCCCAGGGUGCCUCCUGUACAAGAACCCAGGCUGCUUCUCAGCGAUGCUCCCUCCCCACCUCUACAGAACAGGAAAGAGUGGCUGAGAUGCCAUUUCCUGC